This 483-nucleotide ribosomal RNA is filed under the name uncultured bacterium. RNAcentral's name for it is "bacterial SSU rRNA". It matches the Rfam family "Bacterial small subunit ribosomal RNA", at positions 28 to 521 of the family's 1533-position model. The record is from RNAcentral.
GACGAACGCUGGCGGCGUGCUUAACACAUGCAAGUCGAACGAUGAACCGGAGCUUGCUCUGGGGGAUUAGUGGCGAACGGGUGAGUAACACGUGGGCAACCUGCCCCAGACAUCGGGAUAACCACUCGAAAGAGUGGCUAAUACCGAAUACGACCACUUUGGGCAUCCAACGGUGGUGGAAAGGAUUCUGGUCUGGGAUGGGCCCGCGGCCUAUCAGCUAGUUGGUGGGGUAAUGGCCUACCAAGGCGACGACGGGUAACCGGCCUGAGAGGGCGACCGGUCACACUGGGACUGAGACACGGCCCAGACUCCUACGGGAGGCAGCAGUGGGGAAUAUUGCGCAAUGGGCGAAAGCCUGACGCAGCGACGCCGCGUGAGGGACGAAAGGUCUUCGGAUUGUAAACCUCUUUCUAGCAGGGACGAAGCGAAAGUGACUGUACCUGCAGAAGAAGCACCGGCUAACUACGUGCCAGCAGCCGCGGU